This 22-nucleotide non-coding RNA is filed under the name Arabidopsis thaliana (thale cress). The record is from RNAcentral. Lineage: Eukaryota; Viridiplantae; Streptophyta; Magnoliopsida; Brassicales; Brassicaceae.
UAUUAUAUAAGACGAUGGUAUC